AUUCAACUCUCCCGUUCCCUAAAUCUUUUCUUUUCUUUCUUCUUUUUCUUUUUAAUUAAUUAACUCAUCAUUUAUGUGUAUUAGGGACUCCUUUGCAUGAGUACAAGGUCCCUUUUAGCUUGAUCUGGGCUUAAUACUCUAUUAUAACAUGAAAUCCCUUAUUUUCCACCCGGAUGAACAGUAACCCGGACUGAUAGUGGGUUACUUCAUCCCGAUUUUGAUCCACUUUCAAGACUCCAAAUUUGAUGAAAUUUUUACCUAAAUUCUACACUCAUAGAGGAUUCCAAAGAGAUAACAUGCAUCAUCAUCGGAGGCCGUUUGACCCUCUAAAUAAUUUACCGAAGUUGGGACUUCGACACAGUUUUUCCGUAAUGCUGGAAAAAUUUGUCGAAAUCCGAUUCUUCCUCUUUUAACCACCUCUACAACCCUUGUCUGACCCCUCUAGACUACAUCCACCCUUUGUAUAGUCUAAUAUCAUCAAGAGACUAGAUAGGGAUGGAUAUUUACCUUUUUCUUUUUGGAAAUUGAGGUCCUUGCGUAGAGGGGAAGGAGAUCUACACUUUUCCCUUCAGCUGGCAGC
This 580-nucleotide long non-coding RNA is filed under the name Phoenix dactylifera (date palm). RNAcentral's name for it is "long non-coding RNA (PDAC_LNC018932)". Lineage: Eukaryota; Viridiplantae; Streptophyta; Magnoliopsida; Arecales; Arecaceae. The record is from RNAcentral.